This is a non-coding RNA of Aegilops tauschii subsp. strangulata, 281 nucleotides long. The record is from RefSeq and is a predicted model, not a curated record. NCBI's taxonomy places the organism in Eukaryota, Viridiplantae, Streptophyta, Magnoliopsida, Poales, Poaceae.
GCAUACAAGAAAAUAUCAUUUAGCAAUCAAGUGGAGGUGCUGCUCAGUGUCCAUACAUAUUCGGAUGAAUGAUAACUAUAUUAGGUAAAUGUUUUUUCGUUGUUGCGGGUAGGUAAAUGUUAUUUGUGUGUGUGUGUAGAGAGAGAGAGAGAGAGAGAGAGAGAGAGAGAGAGAGAGAGAGAGAGAGAGAGAGAGACCUUUAGGUUUAGUUUCGGUGAGCUCUCUAGCAUCUGCUCCAUCCUGGCAGAGAAGCAGGAAAGACGCUAGUACGACACCAAACA